AAUGAACGCUGGCGGCGCGCCUAACACAUGCAAGUCGAACGGCACCCCUCUCCGGAGGGAAGCGAGUGGCGAACGGCUGAGUAACACGUGGAGAGCCUGCCCCCUCCCCCGGGAUAGCCGCCCGAAAGGACGGGUAAUACCAGAUACCCCGGGGUGCCGCAUGGCACCCCGGCUAAAGCCCCGACGGGAGGGGAUGGCUCCGCGGCCCAUCAGGUAGACGGCGGGGUGACGGCCCACCGUGCCGACAACGGGUAGCCGGGUUGAGAGACCGACCGGCCAGAUUGGGACUGAGACACGGCCCAGACUCCUACGGGAGGCAGCAGUGGGGAAUCUUGCGCAAUGGGGGGAACCCUGACGCAGCGACGCCGCGUGCGGGACGGAGGCCUUCGGGUCGUAAACCGCUUUCAGCAGGGAAGAGUCAAGACUGUACCUGCAGAAGAAGCCCCGGCUAACUACGUGCCAGCAGCCGCGGUAA
This 475-nucleotide ribosomal RNA is filed under the name uncultured bacterium. RNAcentral describes it as "partial 16S ribosomal RNA". It matches the Rfam family "Bacterial small subunit ribosomal RNA", at positions 28 to 523 of the family's 1533-position model. The record is from RNAcentral.